AGACACUCCAUCAGGGCGUGGCCAUCUUCAAUUCUGUGGCUGGAGUUGCAGAGGUUCCUCCAAAUUUCCAAGUUGGAAUUCCGACAUCAGGGGGCAUCCCAGAUGUUAAUCCAUAACCUUGCUUGGCAGCAGCACAGACGUCACACAUAC
Long non-coding RNA from Brienomyrus brachyistius, 150 nucleotides. RefSeq lists it as uncharacterized. Lineage: Eukaryota; Metazoa; Chordata; Actinopteri; Osteoglossiformes; Mormyridae. The transcript is spliced from 3 exons. The record is from RefSeq and is a predicted model, not a curated record.